This 257-nucleotide ribosomal RNA is filed under the name uncultured bacterium. Its description in RNAcentral is "partial small subunit ribosomal RNA". It matches the Rfam family "Bacterial small subunit ribosomal RNA", at positions 26 to 285 of the family's 1533-position model. The record is from RNAcentral.
AGGACGAACGCUGGCGGCGUGCUUAACACAUGCAAGUCGAGCGGUGAUCCUCCUUCGGGAGGUGAGCAGCGGCGAACGGGUGAGUAACACGUGGGCAACCUGCCCCUCACACUGGGAUAACCUCGGGAAACCGGGGCUAAUACCGGAUACGACCUCGAGCGGCAUCUCUUGAGGUGGAAAGCUCCGACGGUGAGGGAUGGGCCCGCGGCCUAUCAGCUUGUUGGUGGGGUAAUGGCCUACCAAGGCGACGACGGGUA